RNAcentral lists this unclassified non-coding RNA (223 nucleotides) under plant metagenome. Its description in RNAcentral is "partial contains small subunit ribosomal RNA, internal transcribed spacer 1, and 5.8S ribosomal RNA". The record is from RNAcentral.
UCUCCGUUGGUGAACCAGCGGAGGGAUCAUUACCGAGUUAUCAACUCCCAAACCCCUGUGAACAUACCCAACGUUGCUUCGGCGGGACCCCCCCGGCGCCCUCGGCGUCCCGGAACCAGGCGCCCGCCGGAGGACCCAAACUCUUGUUUAAACCAUAGUGGCAUAUUCUGAGUCUCACAAGAAAAAUGAAUCAAAACUUUCAACAACGGAUCUCUUGGCUCUG